Molecule: non-coding RNA, 391 nt
Organism: Nicotiana tabacum (common tobacco)
Lineage: Eukaryota; Viridiplantae; Streptophyta; Magnoliopsida; Solanales; Solanaceae
Source: Rfam
UUAGCGGCAUAAGCAGAAGACUGUUGAAAGUUGAUGAAGGCUAGACAAUGUAUAGCAAUUACAAUGGGAAGCAAGGCUGUAAGGCGGAGCGAAUCCGGAAAGAUUGCCUCAGUUCGGAUUGUUUUCUGCAACUCGGGAAGAUGAAGUUGGAAUUGCUAGUAAUCGCUGAUCAGCAUGCCGUGGUGAAUACGUACCCGGACCCUAUACAUACCGCUCGUCACACCCUGGGAAUUGGUUUCGCCCGAAGCAUCGAACCAAUGAUCACCCAUGACUUCUGUGGCACACUAGUGCCACAAGGCCUUUGGUGGUCUUAUUGGCGCAUACUACGGUGGGAUCUUCGACUGGGGUGAAGUCGUAACAAGGUAGCCGUAGGGGAACGUUCCUGUGGCUG